RNAcentral lists this ribosomal RNA (549 nucleotides) under uncultured bacterium. RNAcentral describes it as "bacterial SSU rRNA". It matches the Rfam family "Bacterial small subunit ribosomal RNA", at positions 355 to 896 of the family's 1533-position model. The record is from RNAcentral.
UGGGGAAUUUUGGACAAUGGGCGCAAGCCUGAUCCAGCCAUGCCGCGUGUCUGAAGAAGGCCUUCGGGUUGUAAAGGACUUUUGUCAGGGAAGAAAAGGAUAGGGUUAAUACCCCUGUCUGAUGACGGUACCUGAAGAAUAAGCACCGGCUAACUACGUGCCAGCAGCCGCGGUAAUACGUAGGGUGCGAGCGUUAAUCGGGAUUACUGGGCGUAAAGCGGGCGCAGACGGUUACUUAAGCAGGAUGUGAAAUCCCCGGGCUCAACCUGGGAACUGCGUUCUGAACUGGGUGACUAGAGUGUGUCAGAGGGAGGUAGAAUUCCACGUGUAGCAGUGAAAUGCGUAGAGAUGUGGAGGAAUACCGAUGGCGAAGGCAGCCUCCUGGGAUAACACUGACGUUCAUGCCCGAAAGCGUGGGUAGCAAACAGGAUUAGAUACCCUGGUAGUCCACGCCCUAAACGAUGUCGAUUAGCUGUUGGGCAGCUUGACUGCUUAGUAGCGAAGCUAACGCGUGAAAUCGACCGCCUGGGGAGUACGGUCGCAAGAUUA